AGAAAGCUUGCUUUCUUUGCUGGCGACCGGCGCACGGGUGAGUAACACGUAUCCAACCUGCCCUUUACUCGGGGAUAGCCUUUCGAAAGAAAGAUUAAUACCCGAUAGCAUAAUGAUUCCGCAUGGUUUCAUUAUUAAAGGAUUCCGGUAAAGGAUGGGGAUGCGUUCCAUUAGGUUGUUGGUGAGGUAACGGCUCACCAAGCCUUCGAUGGAUAGGGGUUCUGAGAGGAAGGUCCCCCACAUUGGAACUGAGACACGGUCCAAACUCCUACGGGAGGCAGCAGUGAGGAAUAUUGGUCAAUGGGCGCUAGCCUGAACCAGCCAAGUAGCGUGAAGGAUGAAGGCUCUAUGGGUCGUAAACUUCUUUUAUAUAAGAAUAAAGUGCAGUAUGUAUACUGUUUUGUAUGUAUUAUAUGAAUAAGGAUCGGCUAACUCCGUGCCAGCAGCCGCGGUAAUACGGAGGAUCCGAGCGUUAUCCGGAUUUAUUGGGUUUAAAGGGAGCGUAGGUGGACUGGUAAGUCAGUUGUGAAAGUUUGCGGCUCAACCGUAAAAUUGCAGUUGAUACUGUCAGUCUUGAGUACAGUAGAGGUGGGCGGAAUUCGUGGUGUAGCGGUGAAAUGCUUAGAUAUCACGAAGAACUCCGAUUGCGAAGG
This 653-nucleotide ribosomal RNA is filed under the name uncultured Bacteroidales bacterium. Its description in RNAcentral is "bacterial SSU rRNA". It matches the Rfam family "Bacterial small subunit ribosomal RNA", at positions 73 to 721 of the family's 1533-position model. The record is from RNAcentral. Lineage: Bacteria; Pseudomonadati; Bacteroidota; Bacteroidia; Bacteroidales.